GCUCCAGACUCCAUGCUGCAUCCCCAGCAAGUGUCCGGUCUGCCCGGGAGACCUCUUGCAGAGAAGCUCAUUUUGGGGUUUCUUUAUUCUGCCCACUACUCCCCAUCAAGGAAGUUUCGACUGAGUUUAUCAGGGUCUGAGUUUAUCAGGGAUGUCUCGGAACUCUGACUGAAACACCUUCUUUGCUGGACCAUCCUUCAGAGCAGCUCACCAGUCUGUGGAGACCAUAGCCAUGUCGAGCAUGGUGUAUUGUACAGAUGGAGGACAUCAUCCAGAGCACACCAGGCCAAGCAUACACUGU
Molecule: long non-coding RNA, 301 nt
Organism: Corapipo altera (White-ruffed manakin)
Lineage: Eukaryota; Metazoa; Chordata; Aves; Passeriformes; Pipridae
Exons: 3
Source: RefSeq, a predicted model, not a curated record